CCCUUAGAUGUCCGGGGCCGCACGCGCGCUACACUGAAGGAAUCAGCGUGGCUUUCUCCCUGACCCGAAAGGGUUGGGAAACCCGUUGAAUCUCCUUCGUGAUAGGGAUUGGGGCUUGAAAUUGUUCCCCAUGAACGAGGAAUUCCCAGUAAGCGCGAGUCAUAAGCUCGCGUUGAUUACGUCCCUGCCCUUUGUACACACCGCCCGUCGCUACUACCGAUCGAACGAUUUUGCGAGGUAUCUGGACUGGCAUCUGCCUGGAAGGCCGUUCUUCGGGAUGGUUCGAAGGGUGUGCUUGCCGGGAAAGGGCCCAAGCAUGGUCGUUUAGAGGAAGUAAAAGUCGUAACA
This 348-nucleotide ribosomal RNA is filed under the name uncultured eukaryote. Its description in RNAcentral is "partial 18S ribosomal RNA". It matches the Rfam family "Eukaryotic small subunit ribosomal RNA", at positions 1470 to 1796 of the family's 1831-position model. The record is from RNAcentral.